Molecule: unclassified non-coding RNA, 252 nt
Filed under: uncultured Paenibacillaceae bacterium
Lineage: Bacteria; Bacillati; Bacillota; Bacilli; Caryophanales; Paenibacillaceae
Description: contains 16S-23S intergenic spacer region
Rfam family: Bacterial small subunit ribosomal RNA
Source: RNAcentral
UACGUAGGUGGCAAGCGUUGUCCGGAAUUAUUGGGCGUAAAGCGCGCGCAGGCGGCUGCUUAAGUCUGGUGUUUAAGCCCGGGGCUCAACCCCGGUUCGCACUGGAAACUGGGCAGCUGGAGUGCAGGAGAGGGAAGCGGAAUUCCACGUGUAGCGGUGAAAUGCGUAGAGAUGUGGAGGAACACCAGUGGCGAAGGCGGCUUCCUGGCCUGUAACUGACGCUGAGGCGCGAGAGCGUGGGGAGCAAACAGG